AGGACGAACGCUGGCGGCGUGCUUAACACAUGCAAGUGGAGCGACGAACCAGGGCAACCUGGGGCAAAGCCGCGAACGGGUGAGUAACACGUGGGUUACCUGCCCCGAUGAUUGGGACAACCCGAGGAAACUCGGGCUAAUACCAAAUGUGCCCCUUGGCCUCAAGGCCUCUGGGGAAAGGAAGCUUCGGCCUCCGCAUCGGGAUGGGCCCGCGGCCCAUUAGCUUGUUGGUGAGGUAAUGGCUCACCAAGGCUACGAUGGGUAGCUGGUCUGAGAGGACGAUCAGCCACACUGGGACUGAGACACGGCCCAGACUCCUACGGGAGGCAGCAGUGGGGAAUCUUGCGCAAUGCGCGAAAGCGUGACGCAGCAACGCCGCGUGGGGGAAGAAGGCCUUCGGGUUGUAAACCCCUUUCAGUUGGGACGAAGCUUCGCCGGUGACAGCCGGCUGGAGUGACGGUACCUUCAGAAGAAGCCCCGGCUAACUACGUGCCAGCAGCCGC
This 503-nucleotide ribosomal RNA is filed under the name uncultured bacterium. RNAcentral's name for it is "SSU rRNA". It matches the Rfam family "Bacterial small subunit ribosomal RNA", at positions 26 to 518 of the family's 1533-position model. The record is from RNAcentral.